CGACCGGCGCACGGGUGAGUAACACGUAUCCAACCUGCCGUCUACUCUUGGACAGCCUUCUGAAAGGAAGAUUAAUACAAGAUGGCAUCAUGAGUCCGCAUGUUCACAUGGUUAAAGGUAUUCCGGUAGACGAUGGGGAUGCGUUCCAUUAGAUAGUAGGCGGGGUAACGGCCCACCUAGUCUUCGAUGGAUAGGGGUUCUGAGAGGAAGGUCCCCCACAUUGGAACUGAGACACGGUCCAAACUCCUACGGGAGGCAGCAUG
Molecule: ribosomal RNA, 263 nt
Filed under: uncultured bacterium
Lineage: Bacteria
Description: partial 16S ribosomal RNA
Rfam family: Bacterial small subunit ribosomal RNA
Source: RNAcentral